Molecule: ribosomal RNA, 475 nt
Filed under: uncultured organism
Description: partial 16S ribosomal RNA
Rfam family: Bacterial small subunit ribosomal RNA
Source: RNAcentral
CACUUCUACGGGAGGCAGCAGUGGGGAAUUUUGGACAAUGGGCGAAAGCCUGAUCCAGCAAUGCCGCGUGUGUGAAGAAGGCCUUCGGGUUGUAAAGCACUUUUGUCCGGAAAGAAAUCCUUGGCUCUAAUACAGUCGGGGGAUGACGGUACCGGAAGAAUAAGCACCGGCUAACUACGUGCCAGCAGCCGCGGUAAUACGUAGGGUGCGAGCGUUAAUCGGAAUUACUGGGCGUAAAGCGUGCGCAGGCGGUUUGCUAAGACCGAUGUGAAAUCCCCGGGCUCAACCUGGGAACUGCAUUGGUGACUGGCAGGCUAGAGUAUGGCAGAGGGGGGUAGAAUUCCACGUGUAGCAGUGAAAUGCGUAGAGAUGUGGAGGAAUACCGAUGGCGAAGGCAGCCCCCUGGGCCAAUACUGACGCUCAUGCACGAAAGCGUGGGGAGCAAACAGGAUUAGAAACCCUUGUAGUCCCAUGA